Molecule: long non-coding RNA, 1696 nt
Organism: Micropterus dolomieu (smallmouth bass)
Lineage: Eukaryota; Metazoa; Chordata; Actinopteri; Centrarchiformes; Centrarchidae
Exons: 2
Source: RefSeq, a predicted model, not a curated record
CAGGCAUACAACAGUACAGCCCAGUCACAACUUGCAGUGACCCAGUGAGUCACAACAGUGUAUACCAGGAUGCUGAAACUGAAGCAGCUAAAUGGAAUUCAGCCAUCAUUAAUGUGCUUAUUUACACCUGUGCCUCUUCCUAAUGUGAAGUGUCAAACAUCAAUUAGUCAUCUGUGUAUUCCAUGUAUUUUACAAAUAUGGGUAGUAAAGGUUGCUCUUUAAAAGAUACUGACACAGUUGAAGCUAAUGUAUCAAGCAAAGCUAACUAAGCUAAGCUAAACUAUUUCUAUUAUCUACUGUUUCUCAUGAGAAAUGCAUACUGCUUUUUUAAUAAGAUCGAGCAAUUUCUGAUGCACUGAGCAUUUUUAGGAAAUGGAAAUCUUAAAAAAAACAAACUGACUGUUCUGCUGACAGUGUAUGCAAAGGUCUGCAGAAGAUGAGCCGUUUUAAUUGUCUGCCUGAAGCAUUUCACAGGCACUGAGCAUCUCUUCCCACUGGACUCCAUCAUCUAUCAACAAAAACGCACCUUUCCAAUGCCAUACAGUGAAAUCUGCCUCUGACCAUGUGAGCCAACAUGCCUCUGUGUUACAAAGCAAAUUAAAACUCACCAAAAAUAUUCAAAACAAAGGUUAUGUGGAGCUAGAAGACAGCAUUUAAAAGUCAAAUGUUUGCUGAAUACAGCUUGACAGCAGCAGCUGGAGGGGUUGUACUGUGGAGGAGCUGCAGAGAAGAGUCUGAGUUUGCCACCAGGGUCUAAAUUAUUGCUUUGAGAAAGAAGGUCUGAUUCUAAAUUUAUACACUGCUUGUUUUGUCAACAAAUCAGAUAUUUUCAAGACGCCAAUUACAGCUUCGACAAAACGGAACAAUGGAGGGGUGUGUGCCUUGUCUGCAACAGCAACAUGUGAAUCACAGUGAUACUGACUCUAACCGUACACAGCAAUGCCCACUUUGCACAUCUCUUUAUGGCCCUUAUCACUUGUAGAGAAUAAGUAAAAAUAAGUGCCAGUGUUCUCAAUAAUUAUUUCCUUUAUUUUCAUUUUUGAUUAAAUUAUCUUUUAUGGCUCAAACUCUUUAUAUGCCUUAAUGGCAAUGGGAAAGGAUUAUACUGGUAUUAUCUUUUAAAUGAAGGCUGGCUUUAGGUCACAUACCUUUUAACCCUGUGUUGUCAUUGUGACAGCUGCUUCAUCCUCCUCUGCUUCCAACUCCACUCUUUUGCCCUUUAAUCCUGCAUCUCCUGUCACCUUAGACCUGCCAUUCUGCACCCGGCCACCAGGUGUCCUCUCACCUGACCCUUUCACCUGUCUGCGCACUCAUCACCCCAUCAGUCCAUAUGUGCCAACAAAGUAACCAAAGGAUCAGUCACUCCCUACCAGCAGGAACACAUACUGUAUUACGCCUGAGCCCUCACUCUGUCCUGCUUGCUUUAACGCUUUAGGAUUUGCCCAUUGUAAGCGUUCCUCUUUGGCGAGUAAAGACUAAGGUUUUACCACACCUGGGCCUCCUACUGUGUCUGUUGUGAUCAGUGAGAGCCCAAGUGGAGACUUUCUCCAGAAAGUCUCUUGAAUGGUGCAUCAACUUGCACAAGAAAGUACAUCAGCACAUCUUUACAAACUUUCUAACAUAGGCUGUAAAGUGUUUUUUUCUUAACUUUCUUUCCUAGUUUUACUUCAGUAAUAUAAUGCUACACAGAUUUUUA